UGGCCCACCACACCAUCCUUUCUCACCACUUCCCCAAACAUAUCCAGAGGUCCUUCCCAUCUAAGGGUUUCUGACUGAAAAUUGGCCAGCAAAGACAGGACAGAACAAAGUAGCCAACAUGAGCAGCAUCCCAAGUCUUGGGACCUCGGGUGUCCUGCUCCUGGUGGACAGCUCCUCCCACCUUCUCUGAGACAUCUCUUGGAGCCCCAUAGACCUCUCCAUGAUCCAGUUUGAGUGAAAGGUUCUCGGAUCCUUUCCCUAUUCUUACCCCAAACCUCUUUCUCAGGCCAUACUGAUGGCCUCUGGCCUGCAGGGCCAAUUUUCUGGUGCCCAGGACCAUGUGCAAACAACUAUUGUUUACCAACUGUCCACUGUCACUCAGAAGGGCAUCUUCCAUGGCCUGGACUCAGGACCUCUCCCAGCUUGUCCUCCUUGGGUUCCUGGAAAGGAAUUAACCGCACCCCAUCCGGUUCCCCACUCACUGGUUCCCCAGCCCAAGCACGUAGGCCCCAGCUGGUUACCCCAAGUGAACAGCUUCUCCACCGUCUCACACAGCCUGAACACCUCCAAGAGAAGGGGGCGACCUGCAUAACUAGUGGGUGGUGGUAGCAGAACUUCCCACAGCGAAUACAGCAGGGGUGUCAGACAGGGAUUCUGGGGACAAUUAACAGGGGCCAAUGUCACCCCCUGAAACAGAAAGAGAAUUUCUUAGAAGACUAUCAGUGUUCACAAAGGACGGAGACCAGGCACUCAGAGGGCCCAGGCCAGGAGCCUAACUAGAGCCACACUGUAGAACUGGAUGGCCACUGCUGCUGUGGUCACGGUCAGGCCUGGAUGUACCAGGGGCUGCUAGCAGAAGAAUCCCAUCUCUUGCAAGGGAUUCUGUAGUGGGAGCAAGGGCCAGGAAUUGGCACUCUGCCUAAAACUCAUGGGAAUUUCCCCAGAAGGGAGAGUAUGGGGCCAAGAGGGAAGGAGUAGGGUCUGGACUUUAGAUUACAAAAACAAAACAAAAAAAAACAGCUGUCUCUGACCACAGGGUUGGGCUGAACUGAAUUUCAAGAGGACCUUGAACUAGGACAGGGUUGGUGCCACCCCUACUACAUAAAUAUCCACUAACAAACCUUGAAUCAUGCCAUUUAAAAUAUUUAUUUAACCAGGCCAGGUGCGGUGGCUCAUGCCUGUAAUCCCAGUACUUUGAGGGGCCGAGGCAGGCAGAUCGCUUGAGCCCAGGAGUUCAAGACCAGCCUGGACGAUGUGGAGAGAUCCCAUCUCUAAAAAAUAUACAAAAAAAAAAAAAAA
RNAcentral lists this long non-coding RNA (1299 nucleotides) under Macaca fascicularis (crab-eating macaque). RNAcentral's name for it is "lncRNA (ENSMFAG00000058506.1)". Lineage: Eukaryota; Metazoa; Chordata; Mammalia; Primates; Cercopithecidae. The record is from RNAcentral.